CCGCACAAGCGGUGGAGCAUGUGGUUUAAUCGAAGCAACGCGAAGAACCUUACCAGGUCUUGACAUCCCGAUGCUAUUUCUAGAGAUAGAAAGUACUUCGGUACAUCGGUGACAGGUGGUGCAUGGUUGUCGUCAGCUCGUGUCGUGAGAUGUUGGGUUAAGUUCCGCAACGAGCGCAACCCCUAUUGUUAGUUGCCAUCAUUCAGUUGGGCACUCUAGCGAGACUGCCGGUAAUAACCGGAGAAGUGGGGAUGACGUCAAAUCAUCAUGCCCCUUAUGACCUGGGCUACACACGUGCUACAAUGGUUGGUACAACGAGUUGCGAGUCGGUGACGGCGAGCUAAUCUCUUAAAGCCAAUCUCGGUUCGGAUUGUAGGCUGCAACUCGCCUACAUGAAGUCGGAAUCGCUAGUAAUCGCGGAUCAGCACGCCGCGGUGAAUACGUUCCCGGGCCUU
RNAcentral lists this ribosomal RNA (455 nucleotides) under uncultured Streptococcus sp. RNAcentral's name for it is "bacterial SSU rRNA". It matches the Rfam family "Bacterial small subunit ribosomal RNA", at positions 921 to 1382 of the family's 1533-position model. Lineage: Bacteria; Bacillati; Bacillota; Bacilli; Lactobacillales; Streptococcaceae. The record is from RNAcentral.